Molecule: ribosomal RNA, 1761 nt
Filed under: metagenome
Description: eukaryotic LSU rRNA
Rfam family: Eukaryotic large subunit ribosomal RNA
Source: RNAcentral
UGUCGAAACGGCUUUUUUACACCCGUCUUGNAACACGGACCAAGGAGUUAUUCGUACGACUGAGUGUUUGAGUGAAAAACUCAUCCGCGAAGUGAAAGCAAGUAUAAGGUGCCAACGGCUUGCCCGGCAGCAUCAGCCCUCGGCGAUCUUUUGUGAGCCGUAGGAGUGAGAAGUCGUCCGAAUAGACCCGAAAGAUGGUGAACUUUGCGUGAAUAGGUUGAAGCCUUUCGAAAGAGAGGUGGAAGGCCGAAUCGGUACUGACGUGCAAAUCGUUCGUGAAAUUUACGUAAAGGGGCGAAAGACUAAUCGAACCAAUGGCUAGUAGCUGGUUCCACCCGAAGUUUCUCUCAGGAUAGCAGGAACAACAACGUAGUUUUACCAGGUAAAGCUAAUGAUUAGGAGUAUCGGGAGGUUAAUCCUCUUGACUCAUUCUCAAACUUUAAAUUGGUAAGAAGAUCUAAGUUUUCUUAACUGAACUUUGUCGUAGAAUACGUGUUCUUAGUGGGCCAUUUUUGGUAAGCAGAACUGGCGAUGAGGGAUGAACCUUUCGCUGAGGUAAAGAGCCUAAUUUCGCAUUCAUCGGACACCAAAAAAGGUGUUGAUUCAUUAAGACAAUUGGACUGUGACCCUAAAAGUAGGUAUCAGCUAAGAAGUGUCUAACAACUUACCAAUCGAAUGAAUUAGCCCUGAAAAUGGAUGGCGCUACAGUGCGAAUCUGAUCCUCGGCCUUUAGACCAAAUAUGCGGUUUAAAGAGUAGGGUGGCGUGACGGUAGUACUGAAGCUUGGACGUGAGUCCGAGUGAAACUGCCGUUAGUGCAGAUCUUGGUGGUAGUAGCAAUUAUUCAAAUGAGAACUUUGAAGGCCGAGUGGAGAUGGUUUCCAUGAGAACUGUAUUGGGUCAUGGGUUAGCCGGUCCUAAGUCAAAGCUUAAUUGCUUUUAAUGAUGCAAUAGUAUCGAAGACAAAAGGGAAUGGCGUUAAUAUUCGUCAGCGUCGUCAGCGAUAUUGUGUGGUAACACAAACAAGCCCGGAAACACCAGAUCGUACCGCCUGAAGGACUUUCUUUUCUUUUUAACUCUCUAUGGCCUUGGAAUGGGAUUAUCCCGCGAGACGGCAAAACGAGAGGAAGAGUACCCCACUUUUUGGGGUACAGGCUGCGUCCGAUAUGGUCCAUGAAAAUCCGGGGGAGAGAUUUAUUCAGCUGCGACUCCGUACCGAAACCGCAUCAGGUCUCCUAGGUUAACAGCCUCUGGUCAACGAGCGAAUGUAGUCCAAGGAAGUCGGCAAAAUAGAUCUGUAACUUCGGGAAAAGGAUUGGCUCUGAGGAUCGAGUGUUCCGAGCCCGUAGUGAAGGAUGACUUGAAAAGAACGCGAUUUUCGCAAGAAAGUUUCGUACUAGACAAGUCUCUAGAACUUUGCGGCAAAGUCACAAUUAACGAUUAACUCAGAACUGAAGCGGACAAGGGAAAUCUAACUGUCUAAUAACAACAUAGCAAAGUGAUGGCGUGAAAACGUGUUGACACUUUGUGAUUUCUGCCCAGUGCUACGAACGUUAAUGUGAUGAAAUUCACGCAAGCGCGGGUAAACGGCGGGAGUAACUAUGACUCUCUUAAGGUAGCCAAAUGCCUCGUCAUGUAAUUUGUGACGCGCAUGAAUGGAUCACUGAGAUUUCUACUGUCUCGGACUACUACUCGGCGAACCCACAGCCAAGGGUACGGGCUUGGCAAAAUCAGCGGGGAAAGAAGACCCUGUUGAGCUUGA